This 301-nucleotide ribosomal RNA is filed under the name uncultured bacterium. Its description in RNAcentral is "partial 16S ribosomal RNA". It matches the Rfam family "Bacterial small subunit ribosomal RNA", at positions 509 to 809 of the family's 1533-position model. The record is from RNAcentral.
CAGUCGCCACGGUAAUACGAAGGGUGCAAGCGUUAAUCGGAAUUACUGGGCGUAAAGCGUGCGUAGGCGGUUUGUUAAGUCUGCUGUGAAAUCCCCGGGCUCAACCUGGGAAUGGCAGUGGAUACUGGCAAGCUAGAGUGUGUCAGAGGAUGGUGGAAUUCCCGGUGUAGCGGUGAAAUGCGUAGAGAUCGAGAGGAACAUCAGUGGCGAAGGCGGCCAUCUGGGACAACACUGACGCUCAUGCACGAAAGCGUGGGGAGCAAACAGGAUUAGAUACCCCAGUAGUCCCUGUCUCUUAUAA